Molecule: Y RNA, 93 nt
Filed under: Propithecus coquereli (Coquerel's sifaka)
Lineage: Eukaryota; Metazoa; Chordata; Mammalia; Primates; Indriidae
Description: Y RNA (ENSPCOG00000002232.1)
Rfam family: Y RNA
About the family: Y RNAs are components of the Ro ribonucleoprotein particle (Ro RNP), in association with Ro60 and La proteins.
Source: Rfam by way of RNAcentral
GGCUGGUCUGAUGGUCGUGGGUUAUCAGAAUUUAACAUUAGUGUCACUAAAGUUGGUAUACAACCCCCCACUGCUAAAUUUGACUGACUUUUC